CGCCAUCAUUAGUGCUUGUCUCAAUGGAGCCACUGGCGGGGUGUUGCUGCUGCCGGAACCACCGCGGGGUGUUGCUAGGAAUCGCUGCUGCCCUGCUUCCACUAAACUUAGGUUUAACAUCCAUUGGCCUGGAGCCGCUUCUGCUUUCGAUUCUAUUGAAUUUGAAAUCUUCAUUUUGUUGCAACCAUGAUCACUGUUGUGGGAGCUAACGCCCCUGCUAUCUUGAUUGAAACUGUUGCAUAGCUAGUAUUGGUCCAGCCAGCUGCCUCGCUAUAAUCCCGCCUCCGGGUUCUUUUAAGCGCGACAUCGAGCGACAGGUUUGAAGACGCAAUUUGAAGCUGCGAGCGAUCAGUAGGCUUUCUUUAUGGUUUUAAUUGCUUCCAUAGAGUCCCCUCGCUAUUGUCCUUUGAGAAUUCAUUUUACAUAGAGGGGUAGGUUUAGUAUAUUGUAUUUGAGUUUUAUUUGGUCUCUUUUGUAUAAGAAUUAUUAUCAAUAAUAUCUAUGUGAUUAUUAUUA
Molecule: non-coding RNA, 516 nt
Organism: Arachis ipaensis
Lineage: Eukaryota; Viridiplantae; Streptophyta; Magnoliopsida; Fabales; Fabaceae
Source: RefSeq, a predicted model, not a curated record